UCUACGGGUGGCUGCAGUGAGGAAUAUUGGUCAAUGGGCGUAAGCCUGAACCAGCCAAGUCGCGUGAGGGAUGAAGGUUCUAUGGAUCGUAAACCUCUUUUAUAAGGGAAUAAAGUGUGGGACGUGUCCUGUUUUGUAUGUACCUUAUGAAUAAGGAUCGGCCAACUCCGUGCCAGCAGCCUCGGUAAUACGGAGGAUCCGAGCGUUAUCCGGUUUUAUUGGGUUUAAAGGGUGCGUAGGCCGACGCUUAAGUCAGCGGUAAAAUUGCGGGGUUCAACCUCGUCGAGCCGUUGAAUCUGGGUGCCUUGAGUGGGCGAGAGGUACGCGGAAUGCGUGGUGUAGCGGUGAAAUGCAUAGAUAUCACGCAGAACUCCGAUUGCGAAGGCAGCGUACCGGCGCCCAACUGACGCUGAAGCACGAAGGCGUGGGUAUCGAACAGGACUAGAUACCCGGGUAGUC
This 459-nucleotide ribosomal RNA is filed under the name uncultured bacterium. RNAcentral describes it as "partial 16S ribosomal RNA". It matches the Rfam family "Bacterial small subunit ribosomal RNA", at positions 338 to 795 of the family's 1533-position model. The record is from RNAcentral.